AGCUCCACGAGCAUGUACGUAAGUUGUUGCAGUUAAAAAGCUCGUAGUUGGAUCUCAGGCUCGUAGUCAGUGGUCCGCCCGAUACGGGUGUGUACUGCUGUGCUCGGCCUACGUCUGGUUAAGUUCGUAGUGCCCUUAACUGGGUGCUGCGGAAUGCCAGAAGGUUUACUCUGAAAAAAUUAGAGUGCUCAAAGCAAGCUGUUAUGCUUGAAUACUGUUGCAUGGAAUAAUGGAAUAGGACCUCGGAUCUAUUUUGUUGGUUUUCGGAGUCGAGGUAAUGAUUAAGAGGGACAGACGGGGGCAUUCGUAUUGCGCCGUUAGAGGUGAAAUUCUUGGAUCGGCGCAAGACGAACAACUGCGAAAGCAUUUGCCAAGGAUGUUUUCAUUAAUCAAGAACGAA
This 400-nucleotide ribosomal RNA is filed under the name phytoplankton environmental sample. RNAcentral describes it as "partial small subunit ribosomal RNA". It matches the Rfam family "Eukaryotic small subunit ribosomal RNA", at positions 587 to 987 of the family's 1831-position model. The record is from RNAcentral.